This 325-nucleotide ribosomal RNA is filed under the name uncultured eukaryote. Its description in RNAcentral is "partial 18S ribosomal RNA". It matches the Rfam family "Eukaryotic small subunit ribosomal RNA", at positions 1470 to 1796 of the family's 1831-position model. The record is from RNAcentral.
CCCUUAGAUGUUCUGGGCCGCACGCGCGCUACACUGACGAAUGCAACGAGCUUAUAACCUUGGCCGAAAGGUCUGGGUAAUCUCCAAAUUUCGUCGUGAUGGGGAUAGAUUAUUGCAAUUAUUAAUCUUCAACGAGGAAUGCCUAGUAAGCGCAAGUCAUCAGCUUGCGUUGAUUACGUCCCUGCCCUUUGUACACACCGCCCGUCGCACCUACCGAUUGAAUGGUCCGGUGAAGCCUCGGGAAUGUGACCAGUUCGCUUCAUUGUGAGUUGGUUGCGUGAACUUGUCUAAACCUUAUCAUUUAGAGGAAGGUGAAGUCGUAACA